This 1778-nucleotide unclassified non-coding RNA is filed under the name Octopus sinensis (East Asian common octopus). RNAcentral describes it as "probable G-protein coupled receptor 139, transcript variant X1". Lineage: Eukaryota; Metazoa; Mollusca; Cephalopoda; Octopoda; Octopodidae. The record is from RNAcentral.
UCUCUGCAAUCACACAUCGGGCGUACAUAUAUUCCAAUCAUCUUAAAACAAUGAAUGAACUUAAACAGUGCUUCAAAGAUCAAUAACUUCAGGAUAAAAUCACAAGAGCGCCAUUAUUUUAUUGUCAACUCGAAAUUCUACCAUACCAAUCAGGGGCAUUCUUAGUUGUACAAUACUUUGCUGUGAAAGAUAUCACAGCUGCUAAACAUGACUAACACAACUACUGUAAGUGUUUUGGAAGCGACAGCCAACGUUACAUUGAAUUGUGAAGAUGACUAUAUUCAUCGGAGUAUCUUGUUGGAAUAUGUUCCUGAAAGUAUUUAUGUCGACAGAUACACAACGCCAUUUCUUUAUAUCAUCGGCUUUCCAGGCAAUAUUCUGUCAUUCAUCGUCUGGAUACAAAGGCGCAUGCGUCAUUCAUCUGGAUAUUACUUAGCUGCAAUUGCCCUUGCUGAUCUGUUUUUCUUAGCUUUGCAAAUCGUGCAUGAAGCACAAAGUGCUUGGUUCUUAACUGUCUUAGACUAUCCCAUCAUAUGUGGAGGCUACCCUGUGUUAUUUAUGACUUGCCAAUAUUUACCACCACUGUUCGUGUUAGGUUUCACCGUUGAGAGAUAUAUAUCAGUCUGUCACCCGUUCAAACGUGAACGAUACUGUACCACAAGACGAGCUAAAAUUGUGAUCCUUGCGCUGAUCAUACUUUCAUUCAGUCUGUCUUCUAUGCAAGGAUACUUUUGGCAUUAUAACUCUGCGUGUCAAUCUUGCUCACCUCGGAAGUGGGCAAUUAAUACAUCAUUCUGGACUAUAUGGACUUGGAUAGUUGAAUUUUUGAUAUUUAUGCUCGUCCCAGGUUUGGUUUUGAUCUUCAAUAUACUGGUUAUAUUGGAAGUACGAAGAAUGUCGAAAAUAGAACUUCAUGGUAACGAGCAGCGAACGUCUGCCACAACUCUUAUGCUUUUGACUGUGUCAUUCUAUCUUAUAUUCACGGUUCUACCAGUUACCGUAACAACCUCUCUUUACACAACGUUUCCGUAUGGGAAACUGGGAAUGUCCGAAGAGGAAACCCGUUCUGAUCCAAUAUGGAAAAGAUUCUUUACAUAUGUUUUUAUUAAAGCUAUUGUCAACGAGAUUGGACUAACACACUUCGUAUUUAACUUUUUCAUAUAUUUGAUCACAGGUCGACAGUUUCGCAAGGAACUGGAGAAACUUAUAACAAGCAGUAUAAUCUGCACGAAAUGGAAUGCUUAUAGACAAAGAGAUUUCAGUACGAGUGGGGAGUCCACUUGGGCUUCUAGAUAUAGUAAAAAGGAUUCGCUUGGCAUGAAGCAGGGUGUAAACGGGCACACUUCAUUGUUAGUUAACUGCAACAAUACGACAACUACUACUACUACAAACACCGAAACUGUUGUGAAAAGUUGAAAACAAGGCCUACCAACUGAGUCUUCAUGAUUAGUAAAGACAUCGUAUUACCAUCGACGUGAAACACCUACAAACCGUUAAGAUGAGAGCUGAGACAGAAACUUUCUCCAAUAGUAAUUACUCCCUUUAAUGUUUACUGUGAAGAAGUACAAUUGUAUAACUGGUACCUACUGUGAACAAGGAGCAACCUACAAUAUAAAAGCCCAACCAAUCCAAAUUUGACUCUCCUGUAGCUGAGGAUAUGGCGGAUAUUCAUAACCAAAACACACUGCGUAAUCUACAAAAAGCAUACAAAAAGUAUACAAAAAGUAUAUGCUUAUAUAUUUAGCUAAUAUAUAUAUAUAUUUAUAUUUAUACAUACA